This 433-nucleotide ribosomal RNA is filed under the name uncultured bacterium. RNAcentral describes it as "partial 16S ribosomal RNA". It matches the Rfam family "Bacterial small subunit ribosomal RNA", at positions 29 to 507 of the family's 1533-position model. The record is from RNAcentral.
AACGAACGCUGGCGGCAUGCCUAACACGUGCAAGUCGAACGAGACCUUCGGGUCUAGUGGCGCACGGGUGCGUAACGCGAGGGAACCUGCCCUUAGGUUCGGAAUAACUCCCCGAAAGGGGUGCUAAUACCGGAUAAUGUCUUCGGACCAAAGAUUUAUCGCCUUUGGAUGGGCCCGCGUUGGAUUAGCUAGUUGGUAGGGUAAAAGCCUACCAAGGCGACGAUCCAUAGCUGGUCUGAGAGGAUGAUCAGCCACACUGGGACUGAGACACGGCCCAGACUCCUACGGGAGGCAGCAGUGGGGAAUAUUGGACAAUGGGCGAAAGCCUGAUCCAGCAAUGCCGCGUGAGUGAUGAAGGCCUUAGGGUUGUAAAGCUCUUUUACCCGGGAUGAUAAUGACAGUACCGGGAGAAUAAGCUCCGGCUAACUCCGUG